This is a long non-coding RNA of Monopterus albus (swamp eel), 531 nucleotides long. RefSeq lists it as uncharacterized. The transcript has 3 exons. Lineage: Eukaryota; Metazoa; Chordata; Actinopteri; Synbranchiformes; Synbranchidae. The record is from RefSeq and is a predicted model, not a curated record.
AACAUGCCGCCGAUGUAGGCGUGACGCUCGUCAAAGCCCUUAUGGAUGAUGGCAUUGAUGAAGGGAGAACCUGGCAGGAGAAAAGAGAAACUUCUUAUUCACCACUUUCUGAAUCUGCAGUCAGAGGGAGGACAGGACAAAAGGAAGGAUGAAGAGUGAAAAAAGAAAAGUUUGAUGUGCUUUGAAUAAAAAGGUCGUGCAUGUGUGUUCACAUACCUCCUCCUCCACAGACUGGAACUCCUUGUCGUCCGGUGCCAGGUCGAUCAGCACAGUGCCCUGGCUGGAGCAGUGGAAUGUCAGAUAUGGGUUUGCACCUACCGACGCACAUUUUGAAUAUCAAUCAGGACAGAAUGAACCAAGACAAGGAAUAGGUGACAACACCUUUUGGGUAUCUGGCCUAAAGGUCAUGUACUCUUAUUUGUGAUCCAAGUACAAUCACUUCUAAUGGCUGGUUUGAGGCCUAAUAAGCUAUUUUUAUUCAAAUAUUACAGGUAUAUACAUGUAUAACCUAAUACUUUGCUGUAUAGAUGU